Molecule: ribosomal RNA, 882 nt
Filed under: Staphylococcus aureus
Lineage: Bacteria; Bacillati; Bacillota; Bacilli; Caryophanales; Staphylococcaceae
Description: partial 23S ribosomal RNA
Rfam family: Bacterial large subunit ribosomal RNA
Source: RNAcentral
GAAAGAUGAAUCAAAGAAGGUAAUAAUCCUGUAGUCGAAAAUGUUGUCUCUCUUGAGUGGAUCCUGAGUACGACGGAGCACGUGAAAUUCCGUCGGAAUCUGGGAGGACCAUCUCCUAAGGCUAAAUACUCUCUAGUGACCGAUAGUGAACCAGUACCGUGAGGGAAAGGUGAAAAGCACCCCGGAAGGGGAGUGAAAUAGAACCUGAAACCGUGUGCUUACAAGUAGUCAGAGCCCGUUAAUGGGUGAUGGCGUGCCUUUUGUAGAAUGAACCGGCGAGUUACGAUUUGAUGCAAGGUUAAGCAGUAAAUGUGGAGCCGUAGCGAAAGCGAGUCUGAAUAGGGCGUUUAGUAUUUGGUCGUAGACCCGAAACCAGGUGAUCUACCCUUGGUCAGGUUGAAGUUCAGGUAACACUGAAUGGAGGACCGAACCGACUUACGUUGAAAAGUGAGCGGAUGAACUGAGGGUAGCGGAGAAAUUCCAAUCGAACCUGGAGAUAGCUGGUUCUCUCCGAAAUAGCUUUAGGGCUAGCCUCAAGUGAUGAUUAUUGGAGGUAGAGCACUGUUUGGACGAGGGGCCCCUCUCGGGUUACCGAAUUCAGACAAACUCCGAAUGCCAAUUAAUUUAACUUGGGAGUCAGAACAUGGGUGAUAAGGUCCGUGUUCGAAAGGGAAACAGCCCAGACCACCAGCUAAGGUCCCAAAAUAUAUGUUAAGUGGAAAAGGAUGUGGCGUUGCCCAGACAACUAGGAUGUUGGCUUAGAAGCAGCCAUCAUUUAAAGAGUGCGUAAUAGCUCACUAGUCGAGUGACACUGCGCCGAAAAUGUACCGGGGCUAAACAUAUUACCGAAGCUGUGGAUUGUCCUUUGGACAAUGGUAGGAG